ACUACUGAAAAAUGUAUGUUCUAUCAGUAAUAGUAUUGACUAUUAAUAUUUUGGCUGAAAAUAAAGCAUGCUUAUCUGUUUCAUAACAAAGAUGCACUCUUUUUACACUCAAAUUUUCAGUUACUAGUGUCCUUUACUGGAUUUAAAUACUGGUCCCCCUCUUUUUGGUUUUAAACCCCUUCUAAAUGAUCAAAAGAGAAGGAUGUAUGGCAUAGGUAUGUGAAUCACCAUAAUCCACCAAUCUAAUCUGUGAGAAGCAUUGAAUGCAAU
Molecule: non-coding RNA, 270 nt
Organism: Pelobates cultripes (western spadefoot toad)
Lineage: Eukaryota; Metazoa; Chordata; Amphibia; Anura; Pelobatidae
Source: the annotation of a GenBank genome assembly